RNAcentral lists this ribosomal RNA (253 nucleotides) under uncultured bacterium. RNAcentral describes it as "partial 16S ribosomal RNA". It matches the Rfam family "Bacterial small subunit ribosomal RNA", at positions 524 to 776 of the family's 1533-position model. The record is from RNAcentral.
UACGGGGGGGGCAAGCGUUGUUCGGAAUUACUGGGCGUAAAGGGCGCGUAGGCGGUUGGAUAAGUCAGCUGUGAAAACCACGGGCUUAACUCGUGGCCUGCAGUUGAGACUGUCUGGCUUGAGUGUGGGAGAGGAGAGUGGAAUUCCUGGUGUAGCGGUGAAAUGCGUAGAUAUCAGGAGGAACACCGGUGGCGAAGGCGGCAUCCUGGACCAACACUGACGCUGAGGAGCGAAAGCCAGGGGAGCAAACGGG